AAAAAACCACGUGGGCUAAAAUAGUUGGUCACUAUUCAAUGGGUUUAAUCAUUUUUUCAGGCAUAAAAAAAAUCUCUGUCUCACAAACACACACAUCGAUCAAGAUUGAAACAUGGAACGGAGCUCCACCAGAUUCUUCGUCGCCGGAGUACCUUCUCUCAAAUCUAUCAUUUUUACCGUUUUAACUUUUAAUGUUUACAUUAGUUAUAGGUUUCAAAUUUAAACUAAUCUGUGAUGUUGCUGCUGGUGCCGAGCUUUGUAAUCCUUUUGCAGUCAACAUUGGCUUGGAUUAUGAGGAGCUAGCAAAGAUAGUUACUAGGAGAAGGAGAUUAUGGAAAAUAUAUCGCAAAGCAAUACCCUGAAAAUGGGCUUCAUCUUUCUGGUUCUAAUUGGUUUGCAUUCUCGGUGGAUGAUGCAUUUAGUAUCUGGCUUGGGGGAACGCCAACUGAAACUUCAUUAUCCAGAACUUUUAUGAACAAGGUUAAUAUUCACGGCCUUAAACCAUUACUCUAGAGCUGGAGAUUGAUGAGAAAACUAAGAAAUCAUUAUGUGGGUUCACAAAUCACAUGGGCUUGCUAUGGUGUGUUAGAGAUUUAUGUAAAGUGAUUAUAGACGACGGUGAAAUGACAUCUGGGUUUAAGAAGAUCAAAUUUCGAGAAUUGGAUCGGGUUUUCACUUGAAAGGGAAGACUAAGACAUGGAAAAGAUGUUGCUAUAAAGGUUUUUGCAGUUGAAUCGAAACAGGGAGCAAGAGAACUCUUGACAAAAAUCAAAGUGAUAUUUGAUAUCGAGCACAAAAGCUGAACAAAGCCUCGAUGUUGCGUUGAAGGGGAUCACAGAAUUAUGGUAUACGAUUACAUUGAAAAUAGCAACUUGGCUCAAACUCUUCUUGGUGGCGGGUGAUAGGUCUACAUAUCCACUUUAGUUGAAAAACAACUAAUAUUUGCCUUGGAAUUAUGUGUGGGCUUGCUUAUCUUGAUCAGGAAGUAGGCCACAUAUAACUUAUCGGGAUAUAAAAGCAAUCAAUAUUCUUCUUGGUACAGAUUUAACUCUCAAGAUUCGGGAUUUUGGUCUAGCAAAAUUAAUGCCGGAAAGUAUGAAGCAUUUUUGCAUUGGUUACUUGUCACAAGAGUAUGCAAUUUGAGGCCCGUUGACACGUAGAGCUGAUGUUUAUACCGUCAGUGACUUCUCAUAUUAAUUGUUAGUGGAACAUGAAACACAAACUCCUUAUUGCCUAUCGAUGAACGAUGUAUUCUCGAGAAGGUAAGUUAUUAUUGCAUACUUCUACUUCGUUUAUAUUAUCAGCAGCAAAAUUUCCUUCAGAGAGUUUACAUCUUGAAUGUUUAAGUGAUUUGUUUGACUUUAAAAGUCAGCUCUCGCUAAAAGAUUUGAUAUAGAAGUUCCAUUUGGGUAGUCCGUGCGCGGUCUGCUUAUUGUUGAACAACACUUCAAAAACGCCAAAACUGUGUGAGUUGCUGUUAAAGUCAGGAAAGGUUAUUCAGAUGUUAAAGUCAUGUGUGCAACCUAAACUUACUUUAUUCAAGGCGCUGGUCACUCGUAUGGUCCUAAACGGUAAUGUUUUGCCUUUUGCAACUAGCCUUUGCCUUUCCCUUUUGCUUCCAACCGUCAAGCUUUCCCAUUAGGCUAAAAGCUUCUAAUCGUAAUUGUAAAUAUAUCAAUAUCGUCUUUUUGUUAGCGAACCAUGACCAAACAAUGGAGCUUUACUUUUGACUACAACCUGUUAAUUGUAGUUGUGAUAUAGUUCUCCCUUCUUGGAACAUGCUUUCAUUCAAUGAUGCUUGUAAAGUUUUAAUGAUUAUGUAUAUAUAUGACUUUAAGUCUUUAA
Long non-coding RNA from Erigeron canadensis, 1845 nucleotides. RefSeq lists it as uncharacterized. The transcript is spliced from 9 exons. NCBI's taxonomy places the organism in Eukaryota, Viridiplantae, Streptophyta, Magnoliopsida, Asterales, Asteraceae. The record is from RefSeq and is a predicted model, not a curated record.